GUCUGCUGUGAAAGCCCUCAGCUCAACUGAGGAAGUGCAGUGGAAACUACAAAACUUGAGUACAGAAGAGGAAAGUGGAACUCCAUGUGUAGCGGUGAAAUGCGUAGAUAUAUGGAAGAACACCAGUGGCGAAGGCGGCUUUCUGGUCUGUUACUGACGCUGAGGCUCGAAAGCAUGGGUAGCGAACAGGAUUAGAUACCCUGGUAGUCCAUGCCGUAAACGAUGAAUACUAGGUGUUGGAGGGUUUCCGCCCUUCACUGCCGCAGCUAACGCAUUAAGUAUUCCGCCUGGGGAGUACGACCGCAAGGUUGAAACUCAAAGGAAUUGACGGGGGCCCGCACAAGUGGUGGAGCAUGUGGUUUAAUUCGAUGCUACGCGAAUAACCUUACCAGCUCUUGACAUCUUCUGCCAACCCAAGAGAUUGGGCGUUCCCUUCAGGGACAGAAUGACAGGUGGUGCAUGGUUGUCGUCAGCUCGUGUCGUGAGAUGUUGGGUUAAGUCCCGCAACGAGCGCAACCCUUAUUAUUAGUUGCCAGCAUUUAGUUGGGCACUCUAGUGAGACUGCCGGUGAUAAACCGGAAGAAAGUGGGGACGACCUCCAAUCAUCAUGCCCCUUACGAGCUGGGCUACACACAUGCUACAAUGGAUGGUACAACGAGUCCCAAAACCUCGAGGUCAAGCUAAUCUCUUAGAGCCAUUCUCAGUUCUCAUUGCAGGCGGCUACUCGCCUGCAUGAAGU
This 739-nucleotide ribosomal RNA is filed under the name Apilactobacillus kunkeei. Its description in RNAcentral is "bacterial SSU rRNA". It matches the Rfam family "Bacterial small subunit ribosomal RNA", at positions 587 to 1326 of the family's 1533-position model. Lineage: Bacteria; Bacillati; Bacillota; Bacilli; Lactobacillales; Lactobacillaceae. The record is from RNAcentral.